AAGAAAAAGGUGAUGCAAAGCAAAAGCACCCGAAUAUGCUUUGCUCUCCCCUGCAAAUAUCCCUUCUCUCUUUCCUACUACCAUGAUCAUCAUCCUCAUCAUUUCUCUAUAAUACUACACCUAUUUCACACACACUCUCUCUCGUUAUCUGAUUUUGGGAACUAUGGAGCUUGCUCAGGAGCUCUUGUUCACAGUUUCUCUUGCUCUCCUCUUCUCUUUUCUUGUGGCCAAACUCGUCUCCCUGGCCAUGGCUGCUGACUUGAAGAGCGCCCAGAAUGUGGAUGAUCACAUCGUUGCCAAUGAGGUUAGGUUUGUAGAAACCGAGACUAGGGUGGAAUCUGUUGAUGGAGGAUCGGGUCUGGUUGAGGAAACUUGUGAAAUUACGCGUGGCGGUGAAGUGCCGGUUUUGCCUUCGGAGGAGGAAGUGUCGGAGAUUGUUGAAUUGCCGGAAAAUUCACCGAGGGAAAGGUCGGGGCAUGAGAUUUUAGUGAGUCAUGAUGUUGCUGUCGUUGAGGAACGUGACGAGAGGGAGUUGGAGAGUGAGGAAGAUGAUUGGGAGGGGGUUGAGAGGAGUGAAUUGGAGAGGGUUUUUGCGGCGGCUGCCAACUUUGUUGGUUCUGGGAACAAGGGUGACGGGUGGUCAAGUGAUGCGCAGAUGGAAUUGUAUGGACUUCAUAAGAUCGCAGUUGAGGGGCCUUGCCAUGAGCCUCAGCCUAUGCCGCUCAAGCUCUCUGCCCGUGCCAAGUGGAAUGCUUGGCAAAGGAUGGGAAACAUGAGUAGGGAGGUGGCCAUGGAGCAGUAUAUUGCUCUUCUUUCAGAUAGAGUUCCUGGGUGGAUGGAAGCUAGUUCUGCUGGAGAUGACAAACCAGAGUCCUCAGAAGGCGGAGUACAUGAUAUACUGGAUCCUAAUCAAAGCUCAUUGCUGCAUGAUCAAAUAAGUUCUACAAAUGAAACGAAACCAGAACUGAAGUCUGGUACUUUGGGAAUUGAUUUGACUGAGGGUUCAAACUCUGUGAGCACGGAGAAAGAAUGACAAACAUUGCCUUGCUACUCUAUCUCCACCACCACAAGGGGCAUUCUACUUUGUCACUGGAGCAGAAUAAGGACUAAUUCCUAUUACCAAGUAUAGUUGAAAUUGUGGUGAUGGUGAGCAGGAUGGUAGUGCUCUGCUAGCACAUUGAAGGGUUUUGGUUGGAUUGAUAUUUCUUUUGUUGUUUGUUCAAGAAAAGCGAUAUGAUUGGAUUUCUUUGCAACUAAAAUGAAGAUAUAGUAGCAUCUUGCUUUUAGUAGAGCUGGAAGUGAAUCAGGUUCAUUACUAAAACAAUCUGAAAUCUGAAUCUUGUUAAAAUGUGAAACUACUGUUGUUUUCCUUAUUAUCAAGUUGUGCUAUAUAUAUGUAUGUUAAGCUUGUUAUCUUUGUUACUCUGAUGGUUUAACAUUUCUUGGCCCAAGCCAUCUGAUUGGCUGCCUGAUGGAGAUUAAACCUUGAGUGUAGAGAGAGAGAGAGAGAGAGAGAGAGAGAGUUCUGUGAUAUCAUGUGUAAAGAGGAGUUGAGUUGGAGCAGUCGCCCAACAGUAUAGUUUGGGUUUUGAACCAAAGUUUAGAAAAUAAAAUUGUAUUAGAAUUUGGUUUG
Vitis vinifera (wine grape) is the source of this 1633-nucleotide RNA transcript. It is a transcript of the gene named acyl-CoA-binding domain-containing protein 3-like, with no coding region annotated. The record is from RefSeq and is marked provisional. Lineage: Eukaryota; Viridiplantae; Streptophyta; Magnoliopsida; Vitales; Vitaceae. The transcript has 6 exons.